RNAcentral lists this ribosomal RNA (308 nucleotides) under Pseudoalteromonas sp. RNAcentral's name for it is "bacterial SSU rRNA". It matches the Rfam family "Bacterial small subunit ribosomal RNA", at positions 15 to 325 of the family's 1533-position model. Lineage: Bacteria; Pseudomonadati; Pseudomonadota; Gammaproteobacteria; Alteromonadales; Pseudoalteromonadaceae. The record is from RNAcentral.
GAUCCUGGCUCACAUUGAACGCUGGCGGCAGGCCUAACACAUGCAAGUCGAGCGGUAACAGAAAGUAGCUUGCUACUUUGCUGACGAGCGGCGGACGGGUGAGUAAUGCUUGGGAACAUGCCUUGAGGUGGGGGACAACAGUUGGAAACGACUGCUAAUACCGCAUAAUGGCUACGGACCAAAGGGGGCUUCGGCUCUCGCCUUUAGAUUGGCCCAAGUGGGAUUAGCUAGUUGGUGAGGUAAUGGCUCACCAAGGCGACGAUCCCUAGCUGGUUUGAGAGGAUGAUCAGCCACACUGGGACUGAGAC